CCUACGGGUGGCAGCAGUGGGGAAUAUUGGUCAAUGGGGGAAACCCUGAACCAGCAACGCCGCGUGAGGGAAGACGGCCUUCGGGUUGGAAACCUAAUUGUGUAGGGAUGAAACAAAUGACAGUACCUGAAAAGCAAGCUCCGGCUAAGUACGUGCCAGCAGUCACGGGAAUACGUAAGGAGCAAGCGUUGUCCGGAUUUACUGGGUGUAAAGGGUGCGUAGGCGGGAACACAAGUCAGGCGUGAAAUGCCGGGGCUCAACUCCGGACCUGCCAUUAUGACUAUGUAUCUAGAGUAGGGGAGAGGAUAGCGGAAUACGCAGUGUAGAGGUGAAAUUCGUAGAUAUUGGGUAGAACACCGAUGGCGAAGGCAGCUAUCUGGCCAUUUACUGACGCUGAGGCUCGAAAGCAUGGGGAUCAAACAGGAUUAGAUACCCCAGUAGUC
RNAcentral lists this ribosomal RNA (443 nucleotides) under uncultured bacterium. RNAcentral's name for it is "partial 16S ribosomal RNA". It matches the Rfam family "Bacterial small subunit ribosomal RNA", at positions 338 to 795 of the family's 1533-position model. The record is from RNAcentral.